UACGUAGGGGGCAAGCGUUGUCCGGAUUUAUUGGGCGUAAAGAGCGUGUAGGCGGCCAGGUAGGUCUGCUGUGAAAGUCCAGGGCUCAACCCUGGGAUGCCGGUGGAUACUGUCGGGCUCGAGUCCGGAAGAGGAGUGUGGAAUUCCUGGUGUAGCGGUGAAAUGCGCAGAUAUCAGGAGGAACACCAAUGGCGAAGGCAGCACUCUGGGACGUGACUGACGCUGAGACGCGAAAACGUGGGGAGCAAACAGG
RNAcentral lists this ribosomal RNA (253 nucleotides) under uncultured bacterium. RNAcentral's name for it is "partial 16S ribosomal RNA". It matches the Rfam family "Bacterial small subunit ribosomal RNA", at positions 524 to 776 of the family's 1533-position model. The record is from RNAcentral.